RNAcentral lists this ribosomal RNA (497 nucleotides) under uncultured bacterium. RNAcentral describes it as "partial 16S ribosomal RNA". It matches the Rfam family "Bacterial small subunit ribosomal RNA", at positions 28 to 507 of the family's 1533-position model. The record is from RNAcentral.
GAUGAACGCUGGCGGCGUGCCUAAUACAUGCAAGUCGAGCGAACAGACGAGGAGCUUGCUACUCUGACGUUAACGGCGGACGGGUGAGUAACACGUGGAUAACCUACCUAUAAGACUGGGCUAACUUCGGGAAACCGGAGCUAAUACCGGAUAAUAUAUUGAACCGCAUGGUUCAAUAAUUAAAGACGGUUUUGCUGUCACUUAUAGAUGGAUCCGCGCCGCAUUAGCUAGUUGGUAAGGUAACGGCUUACCAAGGCAACGAUGCGUAGCCGACCUGAGAGGGUGAUCGGCCACACUGGAACUGAGACACGGUCCAGACUCCUACGGGAGGCAGCAGUAGGGAAUCUUCCGCAAUGGGCGAAAGCCUGACGGAGCAACGCCGCGUGAGUGAUGAAGGUCUUCGGAUCGUAAAACUCUGUUAUUAGGGAAGAACAAAUGUGUAAGUAACUAUGCACGUCUUGACGGUACCUAAUCAGAAAGCCCCGGCUAACUACGUG